RNAcentral lists this ribosomal RNA (230 nucleotides) under uncultured Lactobacillus sp. RNAcentral's name for it is "partial 16S ribosomal RNA". It matches the Rfam family "Bacterial small subunit ribosomal RNA", at positions 132 to 356 of the family's 1533-position model. The record is from RNAcentral. Lineage: Bacteria; Bacillati; Bacillota; Bacilli; Lactobacillales; Lactobacillaceae.
AAGAGAUCGGGAUAACACCUGGAAACAGAUGCUAAUACCGGAUAACAACAGAUGAUGCCUAUCAACUGUUUAAAAGAUGGUUCUGCUAUCACUCUUGGAUGGACCUGCGGUGCAUUAGCUAGUUGGUAGGGUAACGGCCUACCAAGGCGAUGAUGCACAGCCGAGUUGAGAGACUGAUCGGCCACAUUGGGACUGAGACACGGCCCAAACUCCUACGGGAGGCAGCAGCG